AUUGCGGUGAGGGUCCACCCGUUCCCAUCCCGAACACGGCAGUUAAGCUCACCUGCGCCGAAAAUACUUGGCUGGAGACGGCCCGGGAAGAUAGGUAAUGC
This 101-nucleotide ribosomal RNA is filed under the name uncultured Pseudoflavonifractor sp. The record is from RNAcentral. Lineage: Bacteria; Bacillati; Bacillota; Clostridia; Eubacteriales; Oscillospiraceae.